UUUUUAAUUGGAAUCUUGUAUGAAUGGUUAGACAAAAGAAUAACUCUCUUUAUAUUAAUUUUGAAUUUAACUUUUAAGUGAAAAGGCUUAAAUAAGCUAAGGGGACGAUAAGACCCUAUAAAACUUUACAUUGUAGUUAUAUUUUAUUGAAUUUAUAAAUAAAAAUUUAAUUUAAUUAUUUGUUAUGUUGGGGAGACAUAAGUAAAAUUUAUUUUAACUGCUUAGUAGUUUAUAACAAUUAUUAGUGAUAAUUUUGUAGAAGAUCCUUUUUGAAGAUUAAUAGGUUAAGUUACUUUAGGGAUAACAGCGUAAUUUCUUUUAAGAGUUCUUAUCGAAAAGGAAGGUUGCGACCUCGAUGUUGAAUUAAAAAAUCUAUAUAAUGAAGAGGUUAUAUAAGAAGGUCUGUUCGACCUUUAAAAUUUUAC
Molecule: ribosomal RNA, 425 nt
Filed under: Geothelphusa sp. SAD-2004
Lineage: Eukaryota; Metazoa; Arthropoda; Malacostraca; Decapoda; Potamidae
Description: partial 16S ribosomal RNA
Rfam family: Bacterial large subunit ribosomal RNA (bases 300-425)
Source: RNAcentral